UAACGCGUGAGGAACCUGCCUCAAAGAGGGGGACAACAGUUGGAAACGACUGCUAAUACCGCAUAAGCCCACAACCCGGCAUCGGGAAGAGGGAAAAGGAGCAAUCCGCUUUGAGAUGGCCUCGCGUCCGAUUAGCUAGUUGGUGAGGUAACGGCCCACCAAGGCGACGAUCGGUAGCCGGACUGAGAGGUUGAACGGCCACAUUGGGACUGAGACACGGCCCAGACUCCUACGGGAGGCAGCAGUGGGGAAUAUUGCACAAUGGGGGAAACCCUGAUGCAGCGACGCCGCGUGGAGGAAGAAGGUCUUCGGAUUGUAAACUCCUGUUGUUGAGGAAGAUAAUGACGGUACUCAACAAGGAAGUGACGGCUAACUACGUGCCAGCAGCCGCGGUAAAACGUAGGUCACAAGCGUUGUCCGGAAUUACUGGGUGUAAAGGGAGCGCAGGCGGGCGAUCAAGUUGGAAGUGAAAUCCAUGGGCUCAACCCAUGAACUGCUUUCAAAACUGGUCGUCUUGAGUAGUGCAGAGGUAGGCGGAAUUCCCGGUGUAGCGGUGGAAUGCGUAGAUAUCGGGAGGAACACCAGUGGCGAAGGCGGCCUACUGGGCACCAACUGACGCUGAGGCUCGAAAGUGUGGGUAGCAAACAGGAUUAGAUACCCUGGUAGUCCACACCGUAAACGAUGAUUACUAGGUGUUGGGAGAUUGACCCUCUCAGUGCCGCAGUUAACACAAUAAGUAAUCCACCUGGGGAGUACGACCGCAAGGUUGAAACUCAAAGGAAUUGACGGGGGCCCGCACAAGCAGUGGAGUAUGUGGUUUAAUUCGACGCAACGCGAAGAACCUUACCAAGUCUUGACAUCCUCUGACGAACGUAGAAAUACGUUUUCUCUUCGGAGCAGAGAGACAGGUGGUGCAUGGUUGUCGUCAGCUCGUGUCGUGAGAUGUUGGGUUAAGUCCCGCAACGAGCGCAACCCUUAUGGUCAGUUACUACGCAAGAGGACUCUGGCCAGACUGCCGUUGACAAAACGGAGGAAGGUGGGGAUGACGUCAAAUCAUCAUGCCCUUUAUGACUUGGGCUACACACGUACUACAAUGGCGUUAAACAAAGAGAAGCAAGACCGCGAGGUCGAGCAAAACUCAGAAACAACGUCCCAGUUCGGACUGCAGUCUGCAACUCGCCUGCACGAAGUCGGAAUUGC
Molecule: ribosomal RNA, 1200 nt
Filed under: uncultured bacterium
Lineage: Bacteria
Description: bacterial SSU rRNA
Rfam family: Bacterial small subunit ribosomal RNA
Source: RNAcentral